This 1107-nucleotide ribosomal RNA is filed under the name uncultured bacterium. RNAcentral's name for it is "bacterial SSU rRNA". It matches the Rfam family "Bacterial small subunit ribosomal RNA", at positions 8 to 1104 of the family's 1533-position model. The record is from RNAcentral.
AGAGUUUGAUCCUGGCUCAGAUUGAACGCUGGCGGCAGGCCUAACACAUGCAAGUCGAGCGGCAGCGGAAAGUAGCUUGCUACUUUGCCGGCGAGCGGCGGACGGGUGAGUAAUGUCUGGGAAACUGCCUGAUGGAGGGGGAUAACUACUGGAAACGGUAGCUAAUACCGCAUGACCUCGAAAGAGCAAAGUGGGGGAUCUUCGGACCUCACGCCAUCGGAUGUGCCCAGAUGGGAUUAGCUAGUAGGUGAGGUAAUGGCUCACCUAGGCGACGAUCCCUAGCUGGUCUGAGAGGAUGACCAGCCACACUGGAACUGAGACACGGUCCAGACUCCUACGGGAGGCAGCAGUGGGGAAUAUUGCACAAUGGGCGCAAGCCUGAUGCAGCCAUGCCGCGUGUGUGAAGAAGGCCUUAGGGUUGUAAAGCACUUUCAGCGAGGAGGAAGGCAUCACACUUAAUACGUGUGGUGAUUGACGUUACUCGCAGAAGAAGCACCGGCUAACUCCGUGCCAGCAGCCGCGGUAAUACGGAGGGUGCAAGCGUUAAUCGGAAUUACUGGGCGUAAAGCGCACGCAGGCGGUUUGUUAAGUCAGAUGUGAAAUCCCCGCGCUUAACGUGGGAACUGCAUUUGAAACUGGCAAGCUAGAGUCUUGUAGAGGGGGGUAGAAUUCCAGGUGUAGCGGUGAAAUGCGUAGAGAUCUGGAGGAAUACCGGUGGCGAAGGCGGCCCCCUGGACAAAGACUGACGCUCAAGUGCGAAAGCGUGGGGAGCAAACAGGAUUAGAUACCCUGGUAGUCCACGCUGUAAACGAUGUCGACUUGGAGGUUGUGCCCUUGAGGCGUGGCUUCCGGAGCUAACGCGUUAAGUCGACCGCCUGGGGAGUACGGCCGCAAGGUUAAAACUCAAAUGAAUUGACGGGGGCCCGCACAAGCGGUGGAGCAUGUGGUUUAAUUCGAUGCAACGCGAAGAACCUUACCUACUCUUGACAUCCACGGAAUUCGCCAGAGAUGGCUUAGUGCCUUCGGGAACCGUGAGACAGGUGCUGCAUGGCUGUCGUCAGCUCGUGUUGUGAAAUGUUGGGUUAAGUCCCGUAACGAGCGCAACCC